This 467-nucleotide ribosomal RNA is filed under the name uncultured bacterium. RNAcentral describes it as "partial 16S ribosomal RNA". It matches the Rfam family "Bacterial small subunit ribosomal RNA", at positions 28 to 507 of the family's 1533-position model. The record is from RNAcentral.
GACGAACGCUGGCGGCGUGCUUAACACAUGCAAGUCGAACGGAAAGGCCUCUUUCGGGGGGUACUCGAGUGGCGAACGGGUGAGUAACACGUGAGUAACCUGCCCUUGACUUUGGGAUAAAUUCAGGAAACUGGGGCUAAUACCGGAUAGGAGCUCCUGCUGCAUGGUGGGGGUUGGAAAGUUUCGGCGGUUGGGGAUGGACUCGCGGCUUAUCAGCUUGUUGGUGGGGUAGUGGCUUACCAAGGCUUUGACGGGUAGCCGGCCUGAGAGGGUGACCGGCCACAUUGGGACUGAGAUACGGCCCAGACUCCUACGGGAGGCAGCAGUGGGGAAUAUUGCACAAUGGGUGGAAGCCUGAUGCAGCAACGCCGUGUGCGGGAUGACGGCCUUCGGGUUGUAAACCGCUUUCGCUCAUGACGAAGCUUUGUGUGACGGUAGUGGGUAAAGAAGCACCGGCUAACUACGUG